UACGUAGGGGGCAAGCGUUGUCCGGAAUCAUUGGGCGUAAAGAGCGUGUAGGCGGCCCGAUAAGUCCGCUGUGAAAGUCCAGGGCUCAACCCUGGAAUGCCGGUGGAUACUGUCGGGCUCGAAUCCGGAAGAGGUGAGUGGAAUUCCUGGUGUAGCGGUGAAAUGCGCAGAUAUCAGGAGGAACACCGGUGGCGAAGGCGGCAUCCUGGACCGGCAUUGACGCUGAGGCGCGAAAGCUAGGGGAGCAAACGGG
RNAcentral lists this ribosomal RNA (253 nucleotides) under uncultured bacterium. RNAcentral's name for it is "partial 16S ribosomal RNA". It matches the Rfam family "Bacterial small subunit ribosomal RNA", at positions 524 to 776 of the family's 1533-position model. The record is from RNAcentral.